GUGUAGCUUAGUGGUAGAGCACUUGCCUAUCAUGUAUGAGGCCCUGAGUUUAAUCCCCAGUAC
This 63-nucleotide transfer RNA is filed under the name Marmota marmota marmota (Alpine marmot). It matches the Rfam family "tRNA", at positions 5 to 66 of the family's 71-position model. Rfam says of the family: Transfer RNA (tRNA) molecules are approximately 80 nucleotides in length. Their secondary structure includes four short double-helical elements and three loops (D, anti-codon, and T loops). Further hydrogen bonds mediate the characteristic L-shaped molecular structure. tRNAs have two regions of fundamental functional importance: the anti-codon, which is responsible for specific mRNA codon recognition, and the 3' end, to which the tRNAs corresponding amino acid is attached (by aminoacyl-tRNA synthetases). tRNAs cope with the degeneracy of the genetic code in two manners: having more than one tRNA (with a specific anti-codon) for a particular amino acid; and 'wobble' base-pairing, i.e. permitting non-standard base-pairing at the 3rd anti-codon position. RNAcentral also lists the same sequence under 2 other names. Lineage: Eukaryota; Metazoa; Chordata; Mammalia; Rodentia; Sciuridae. The record is from Rfam by way of RNAcentral.